UUGGAGGAAAUAGAGCAGAGAAAUAGCCCUGGGUGCCUGUGGUGUGUGCAGGAGAACCCAUCAUGGAAGCCUCACUCUGUGAGGGGUCAUGGUGCCCAGGGCCUGCCCUCCUAAGACAGCACAGAUGCACAGAUAGGGAGGUGGCCUGCAGGUCAGCCUGUGUGAGGGAUAUGACCAUCCUACUGUCUUCCUCUCAGCUAAGAAGAGAAGGUGACAAGUGCCACCUCAGAAGUGUUGAUGUUUGAAAUUUCCUCCAGCCACAGCAUGCAGUUGAAGAGGUUCAAGGGCUUCUGGUGUCUGACGAUACCUGGAGAAAUACAAGAGCAUCAGGGACAGUUUAGAUGUCAACUUUUCCUGGCCCAGUGACUGAAAUAAGAGCAGAAUUGUGACAAGAAGCUGGUGGGAAGAUAAAUUUUGUUUCAGCUGAGGAUCAAGUAUCCCUGCUCAAGGGAAGAGGACAAGGAGCAUGACCCCUGAGGCCACGUGUUCAGCCUGGAUUGUGUGGGUGUGGACAGAUCAGGAGGAGCUCUGUGCAGAAGAAGGCAGAACCUGACCACACUGCAGAGGAACAGAGAGCUGAUGGUCCCCUCAGCCUUGAGCCAUGUGAGACAACUCCUUCUUGAGUUUAGUUUUCUGAUCCUUCUGAUGAGAUAUGGCAGUGUGAUGUCUCUCCUAGUUUUUUGUGGGUGAGUAACAAAUUCCCCCUUAUUGAGCAGUGUGUUCCUUCCCAGGCCUGUUCCUCAGGAGUCCAGGCUGGGUCCUCAGCUCAGCCUGAGAAUAAUACUGAAAUGGAGCAGACAGUGGGCAGCUCUCCUUGCUGAAGUUCAGGGUCUUCUUCCAGGUCCAGUGGCUGAGGCAGAGUCAUCUUUCCACAGUUGUAGGGUGAGGUCCCAAUUUCCCUGUGGCCAUCAACACAGAGCUACUGGAAGCUGCCCUUAUUGUUUGAAAUGUGGCUCCUGCUGCCUCCAAGAGCUGCAUUAGAGCAUCUCCUCACAUCCAAGCUUCAUGGCCUGAGAUCCUCCUUCUUCUGCUUCCAUGUGCAGAUGGACAGGCUUCAAUGUUGAAGACAGAUCUAGUGUGUACUCCCUCUCUCUCUCUUGUAGAUUCAACUUAUUUGAUUAUGUCACAAAAUAUUUCAUAAGAAAUUUUAUUGAAAUUCCUGUUUGAGUACCUGGGGAGUGAGAUGAUACAAGGCCUGGGGAUUGGGGACAACAACUUGGAAUCCUGUCCACAUACUACCAUUUUUUUCACCUACCAUAAUGACUGGAUCCCUGAUAUUCAGAAUUGCAUACUGUUUGGAGGAAUCAGUUUUAAUAAGAUCAGGUGAUUCCAGGUAAGCAGAAGAUAAAGAGGUAACCUGCAGUUGGCACAGGAAUGACAAGGGCUUUCACCGUGUUCCUGUGUGCCAGUUGCACCAGGCAAUAAGUCCUCAGGAACACAUGGCCUGCUUCUCUCCUCGACCCACAGGUUCUCCCUGCCCUUAGCAGACCCCUCAGGCUCCCUGCCCGAGUUCCAUGGCCUCCCAGCCUCAGGCCCUGUCUGCCUCCACACACUGACUCUGUGUCUUCCUUCCACAGGACCAGCCUGUCCCUCUCCCAGCCCUAAGCAAGGCUUCUGUGCAGAUUGGGAAUGUGGCAAAGGUCCAUGCAUGGCCUCCUAGGCUAGACUCCCAGGCAUCAGUCUUGGUCAGUUCACCUAUGGAUUCCCACCUUAGACCUGCUGACUCAUAGUCCUUUCCUGAUAUUUCAGAGCCCAGGGAUCCAUCCUGGUGCCCCAUGCUGAUGUCGUCAUGGAAACCAGACACCUGGCCUUGUAGUAGGCAGGCUGGUGGCUUCAUCUGGUACCCAGGUCUCUUUCCAGCUGGAGGAGGUUUGGGAUGCUCCAUGCAGCACCCACCCAGGGAGGAUUAGAAUCUUGGCUCUGUCUUAAUGAUUGUGUGUGACAUCAGGGAGACACCCUUGGUCCCCGCACUUGGCCUGUGGGUUUGGAGCCAUGAGGGAGCUCUGUAACCUUGCUGCCUAGAUCUCAGCCCAUGGAGAGAGCCACUGCCUUGGGAUCCAGAGCAGCAGCAGCCCCAGGAGCUGAGCAGGGAGCCUCAUUUUGAGAAGCUGAGCUGAGGAGUCCUGGUGAGUCAAGGGCAGGUUAGAGCUGAGCUUUUAUGUCAGCCUUGCAGGAAGGUCCUCCCCAGGGAGCAGCAUGCAAAUGCCCUGGUGGGUGCUGGGUGGGGAGAGUGAGGGAGGGUGGGGUCUGCCUUGUGAGACCAGGGACAUCAAGUAUCUUUAUAUUUGUAGGAAAUAGUGAAACAGCCCAUGGUGCCUGUGGUGUGUGCAGGAGGUCCCAUCAGAACCCAGACUCUGUGGGAGGUCAUGGUUUCAGGGUCUGUUACCUGAGAUAGGAGAGAUAUAAGGACAUUCAGGCUGCCUGCUUCUCAGCAUCUGGGAGGAAGUCACAUCCUGCUGACUUCAUCCAAGAUAAGGAGACAAGGUGACAAGUCCCACCUCAGAAGAAUAGAUUUUCUGAAUUUUCUACCAGCCACAGCAUGCAGUUGAGCUACAUCAAGAGCUUCUGUGUCUGCUGUGACCUGGAGAAAUACAAGAAUGUCAGGGGCAGUGUUAGAGGAUGUCUCUUCGUAGCCUAAUGAAUGAAAUAGGAUCACAAGGGUCAAAAGAAGCUGGUGGGGAAAAGAAACCUGUGACUCAGCUGGAGAUCCAGUAGCCCUGCCCACAGCAAGAGGAGAAGGGACAUGUCCACCUGAAGCUGUGAGUGUGAAAUUCACAUGAGGUAGAUCUAUAAAUGGGUGGUCAUCCUGUCCUAGUCAUCUCCAUGUGUGUGACUCUCAGAGUCAGCCAAACCUUUUCCUAGAGAAGAACCCCUGGAGGUCACUUGACAGAGUGGACAAGGGAGGAUGUCUUGUUAGUUUCUUCUCAGUGAAGAUAGGGAAUUCCUCGCCCCUCUGCUGUUCCAUGUCAGGGACAUUGGCCUGCAGUUGUAACAAGUCCUGUGUUUAAAAGUAGAUUCCCUGGGUUGGAACAGGACUGUGUCCACUCUCUCCAUUUCUCAGGGUGAUUCCCUCUGCACUCGCAGUCUCCUGGGUCUUGCCUCAAGGGGCUCACUGGGGAGAGGGCUCUGGGUCACUGCACAGGGACAUUAGUUUCAGACUUUCCCCUCCCAAGCUGGAGACAGUGAGCCUGUUUUGUUUUUGGCCCACAAGGCUGAGCUGCUUUUCCAGACAACCCAGGUCCUCUGACACACCCUUUCCAUGGUGUGGAACUCAGUGCGGGGCCCUGAGCAGCUCAAGACCCUGGCAUGGUUCCUCUUAGUCCCUGUGAACCUCUGUGGCUGUCCUUCUGACCUCAGUGAGCAGCUUCCCUCUGAACACUGAGGAGCAGCUGUGUUUGUAGUUCUCCAGAUCACAUUCUUCAGGUGCCUUUUCUAAUGAGUGGCUUAAAGGAAAUGAAAGUGACUUUCUCAGGUCUCCUUGGGCAGCAAUAGGCAAAGCUCAGAAUUUAAGAAGGUCUAGAGGGUGGGACACCUUUCUGGAAAGUGGGUUG
This is a long non-coding RNA of Marmota monax (woodchuck), 3551 nucleotides long. RefSeq lists it as uncharacterized. The transcript is spliced from 4 exons. The record is from RefSeq and is a predicted model, not a curated record. Lineage: Eukaryota; Metazoa; Chordata; Mammalia; Rodentia; Sciuridae.